UGGCAUGGUCAACUGCGGUGCGAUUAAUUCGUGCUGAGGAAAAUCCGCUCUAGCACUUUCUGAAAUGAAAGUAGUGUUCACGCUAGAUCAAAGAAAUCUAGACAACUAAAGAAAUUUUAGUUGAUGACUAGUGCAACAGAGACGAGCUUAUUAAUUUAAGUAUGCAACGAUGUAAACUCCGUGAGCUAGAAACCCAAAUUUUGGUAGGGGAACUAGAAAAGGGGAACUUUUUAACCUAAUUCUGGAGACUAAUGCAAAUUAGUUUAGAUAGAUAGUUGACGCCAUAAUUUUUAUGGAACAAAAAGCGGUUUACAGUG
Molecule: RNase P RNA, 317 nt
Filed under: Metamycoplasma arthritidis 158L3-1
Lineage: Bacteria; Bacillati; Mycoplasmatota; Mycoplasmoidales; Metamycoplasmataceae
Description: Mycoplasma arthritidis 158L3-1 Bacterial RNase P class B
Rfam family: Bacterial RNase P class B
About the family: Ribonuclease P (RNase P) is a ubiquitous endoribonuclease, found in archaea, bacteria and eukarya as well as chloroplasts and mitochondria. Its best characterised activity is the generation of mature 5'-ends of tRNAs by cleaving the 5'-leader elements of precursor-tRNAs. Cellular RNase Ps are ribonucleoproteins.
Source: Rfam by way of RNAcentral